This 332-nucleotide ribosomal RNA is filed under the name uncultured eukaryote. Its description in RNAcentral is "partial 18S ribosomal RNA". It matches the Rfam family "Eukaryotic small subunit ribosomal RNA", at positions 592 to 976 of the family's 1831-position model. The record is from RNAcentral.
CAAUAGCGUAUAUUAAAGUUGUUGCAGUUAAAAAGCUCGUAGUUGAAUUUCGGGUCCCCGCGCUCGGCGCUUCAUUGUGCCGUCGUGGUGUCUCUCCUCGCCGUAAGGCGUCCUUUACUGUGAAAAAAUUAGAGUGUUCAAAGCAGGCAAUCGCUUGAAUACAUUAGCAUGGAAUAAUAAGAUAGGAUCUUGUCUAUUUUGUUGGUUGCGGACAACGAUAAUGAUUAAUAGGGAUAGUUGGGGGUGUCCGUAUUGAGCUGUCAGAGGUGAAAUUCUUGGAUUUGCUCAAGACGAACUACUGCGAAAGCAUUCACCAAGGAUGUUUUCAUUAA